RNAcentral lists this ribosomal RNA (194 nucleotides) under uncultured bacterium. Its description in RNAcentral is "partial 16S ribosomal RNA". It matches the Rfam family "Bacterial small subunit ribosomal RNA", at positions 338 to 525 of the family's 1533-position model. The record is from RNAcentral.
CCUACGGGAGGCAGCAGUGGGGAAUCUUGCCCAAUGGGCGCAAGCCUGAGGCAGCGACGCCGCGUGCGGGAAGAAGGCCUUCGGGUUGUAAAUCGCUUUCAGGAGGGACGAAGCCACUCGGGUGAACAGCCCAGAGGGUGACGGUACCUCCAGAAGAAGCCCCGGCUAACUACGUGCCAGCAGCCGCGGUAAUA